This 253-nucleotide ribosomal RNA is filed under the name uncultured bacterium. Its description in RNAcentral is "partial 16S ribosomal RNA". It matches the Rfam family "Bacterial small subunit ribosomal RNA", at positions 524 to 776 of the family's 1533-position model. The record is from RNAcentral.
UACGGAGGGUGCAAGCGUUGUUCGGAAUUAUUGGGCGUAAAGGGCGCGUAGGCGGUUAUGUAAGUCAGAUGUGAAAUACUUCGGCUCAACUGAAGAACUGCAUUUGAUACUACUUAGCUAGAGUACAGAAGAGGGAAAUGGAAUUCCCGGUGUAGAGGUGAAAUUCGUAGAUAUCGGGAGGAACACCAGUGGCGAAGGCGAUUUCCUGGUCUGAUACUGACGCUGAGGCGCGAAAGCGUGGGGAGCAAACAGG